This 746-nucleotide ribosomal RNA is filed under the name uncultured bacterium. RNAcentral describes it as "bacterial SSU rRNA". It matches the Rfam family "Bacterial small subunit ribosomal RNA", at positions 8 to 765 of the family's 1533-position model. The record is from RNAcentral.
AGAGUUUGAUCCUGGCUCAGGAUGAACGCUGGCGGCGUGCUUAACACAUGCAAGUCGAACGGACUUAUAACGAAACCUAGUGAAUUAUAAGUUAGUGGCGGACGGGUGAGUAACGCGUGGAAAACCUGCCGUAUACUGGGGGAUAACACUUAGAAAUAGGUGCUAAUACCGCAUAAGCGCACAGCUUCGCAUGAAGCAGUGUGAAAAACUCCGGUGGUAUACGAUGGUUCCGCGUCUGAUUAGCUAGUUGGUGAGGUAAAAGCCCACCAAGGCAACGAUCAGUAGCCGGCCUGAGAGGGUGAACGGCCACAUUGGGACUGAGACACGGCCCAGACUCCUACGGGAGGCAGCAGUGGGGGAUAUUGCACAAUGGGGGAAACCCUGAUGCAGCGACGCCGCGUGAGUGAAGAAGUAUUUCGGUAUGUAAAGCUCUAUCAGCAGGGAAGAUAAUGACGGUACCUGACUAAGAAGCCCCGGCUAACUACGUGCCAGCAGCCGCGGUAAUACGUAGGGGGCAAGCGUUAUCCGGAUUUACUGGGUGUAAAGGGAGCGUAGGUGGCAGGGCAAGUCAGAUGUGAAAACCCGGGGCUCAACCCCGGGAGUGCAUUUGAAACUGUCCAGCUGGAGUGCAGGAGAGGUAAGCGGAAUUCCUAGUGUAGCGGUGAAAUGCAUAGAUAUUAGGAGGAACACCGGUGGCGAAGGCGGCUUACUGGACUGUAACUGACACUGAGGCUCGAAAGCGUGGG